CAAUCAAACACACCCACAUGCUAGGUGCUAACAUGCGAAUGCUGGAUGCUUGCAGAAAAACUUUCACCUUCAGUGAGGUGUGUGAAUCUUUGUACUGCUGGGAUCAACUCAACAUGUUUGAAAACUUUGGACUACUUAUUGGCGAUUCAAAAUGAACGAGCAGAGAAGUUGAACCUGGAGCAGAUUGAGCAGAUUGAAUAGACUAGACUCACAGAACGAUUUCAUAUGGUGUGCAGUGGUGUCCCUGUGAUCCCAGCGUUAACUUUACAUGUUUCCGUACAUACCUGCUGAGACAAAUCUUCUGGUAGAGCACCAACGUCCACUGCAGGGGCCAACACAGCGCGUUCUCAAACCAGCCCUGACAGCGAAACACGGGGGACAGGCAGACGGCCGCCGUCACAUAGCUGGAUGAUCCACACUCCCCCAGGUAAGAGAGGAGAAGGCCCGACCCGGUGCUCUCGCUAACUGCAUACAGUUUCCCUGCAGGCUGUCGGUGGCGAAUGUAGCGCACUGCCUCGCGCAGAUCUGCCGGGUCCCCGAACUGCUGCAGCUUG
Eleginops maclovinus (Patagonian blennie) is the source of this 554-nucleotide long non-coding RNA. RefSeq lists it as uncharacterized. The transcript is spliced from 3 exons. The record is from RefSeq and is a predicted model, not a curated record. Lineage: Eukaryota; Metazoa; Chordata; Actinopteri; Perciformes; Eleginopidae.